GGGCGUGGUCGAAGAGGUAAAAAUUAAAAGAAAUGUACGGGAAAACGCAAACCGGGGGCAUUAGGUAUAAUAUUGAAAUAAGGGAUAAAACCCUUCCAAGUAUUUAGAAUGCUCUGUCUAUCUUAGAGAGUGAGUAAUUCCCUGGGGAAAGCGGAAACAAAGGGGUCAUUGGAAAUAUUCUUGUUUUGUCUGGAAAGAUUGUGGUUAAACCCCAAAAGAGCGCCAACCCUUUUCAUUAUAUCCAACAAUUAGGUAGGCCAAUGUAAAGAAGCUCGCGGAGGUAUUCCGGGAAGAAAGGGGGGAGAUAAUCAAUUUUCAGUGGCUAUGAUCUGUCUCAAGCUCAUACAAUGAACAAACAAGAAAGCCCGAGUGAAGCGGAACAAAUAAAAUUAUUUUUCUUUUGGAAUGAGUUGAACUCGGUUCAGAAAUUGGAAUCUUAGUAAUUGCCGAACAGAAAGGAGGGAAAAAGUUCCGGGGUUUUGUCACACCCCCCGUCACACCAGGGAGUUGGAAAUCCCCAACGCAGAGGCCACCACUGGGGGGCCCCGUUAAGGGGGCACCAGCUGGCUUUCUCUAAAAGAUAAACCCAGGGGGAAAAUCCCCCACCCGGGCGGCCUUAAUAGGGGAACGAAGGGUGGGCACAAUAUAUU
RNAcentral lists this ribosomal RNA (650 nucleotides) under uncultured Lactobacillus sp. RNAcentral's name for it is "partial 16S ribosomal RNA". Lineage: Bacteria; Bacillati; Bacillota; Bacilli; Lactobacillales; Lactobacillaceae. The record is from RNAcentral.